GCCAGGCGUGGUGUUGCACGCCUGUAAUCCCAGCUACUCAGGAGGCUGAGGCAUGAGAAUCACUUGAACCCAGGAAGCGGAGGUUGCAGUGAGCUGAGAUCACGCCACUGCACUCCAGCCUGGGUGACAGAGUGAGACUCUGUCUCAA
This is a non-coding RNA of Pan troglodytes (chimpanzee), 148 nucleotides long. It matches the Rfam family "Metazoan signal recognition particle RNA". From Rfam's summary of the family: The signal recognition particle (SRP) is a universally conserved ribonucleoprotein. It is involved in the co-translational targeting of proteins to membranes. The record is from Rfam. Lineage: Eukaryota; Metazoa; Chordata; Mammalia; Primates; Hominidae.